This 94-nucleotide transfer RNA is filed under the name Pigmentiphaga humi. Its description in RNAcentral is "Pigmentiphaga sp. IMT-318 tRNA-???(cgct)". Lineage: Bacteria; Pseudomonadati; Pseudomonadota; Betaproteobacteria; Burkholderiales; Alcaligenaceae. The record is from RNAcentral.
CGAUCACCUGGUCCAGGUCGGAAUCCGCGCGCACGCUGACGCGCACGGCAGCGUUGCCGAUGCCGCGAUUGCUGUUCGAAACCGUGCUGACCGA